This 253-nucleotide ribosomal RNA is filed under the name uncultured bacterium. Its description in RNAcentral is "partial 16S ribosomal RNA". It matches the Rfam family "Bacterial small subunit ribosomal RNA", at positions 524 to 776 of the family's 1533-position model. The record is from RNAcentral.
UACGGGGGGGGCAAGCGUUGUUCGGAAUUACUGGGCGUAAAGGGCUUGUAGGCGGCCAACUAAGUCAUACGUGAAAUCCCUCGGCUUAACCGGGGAACUGCGUCUGAUACUGGAUGGCUUGAGAUUGGGAGAGGGAUGCGGAAUUCCAGGUGUAGCGGUGAAAUGCGUAGAUAUCAGGAGGAACACCGGUGGCGAAGGCGGAUCUCUGGGCCGAUACUGACGCUGAGGAGCGAAAGCGUGGGGAGCGAACAGG